AGUAACGCGUGGGUAACCUGCCUCAUACAGGGGAGUAACAGUUAGAAAUGACUGCUAAUACCGCAUAAGCGCACAGUGCUGCAUGGCACAGUGUGAAAAACUCCGGUGGUAUGAGAUAGACCCGCGUCUGAUUAGCUAGUUGGUGGGGUAACGGCCUACCAAGGCGACGAUCAGUAGCCGGCCUGAGAGGGUGAACGGCCACAUUGGGACUGAGACACGGCCCAA
RNAcentral lists this ribosomal RNA (225 nucleotides) under uncultured bacterium. RNAcentral describes it as "partial 16S ribosomal RNA". It matches the Rfam family "Bacterial small subunit ribosomal RNA", at positions 109 to 334 of the family's 1533-position model. The record is from RNAcentral.